This 492-nucleotide ribosomal RNA is filed under the name uncultured bacterium. Its description in RNAcentral is "partial 16S ribosomal RNA". It matches the Rfam family "Bacterial small subunit ribosomal RNA", at positions 29 to 507 of the family's 1533-position model. The record is from RNAcentral.
AGUGAACGCUGGCGGUAGACCUAACACAUGCAAGUCGAACGGCAGCACAGUAAGAGCUUGCUCUUACGGGUGGUGAGUGGCGGACGGGUGAGGAAUACAUCGGAAUCUACUUUUUCGUGGGGGAUAACGUAGGGAAACUUACGCUAAUACCGCAUACGACCUACGGGUGAAAGCAGGGGAUCUUCGGACCUUGCGCGAUUGAAUGAGCCGAUGUCGGAUUAGCUAGUUGGCGGGGUAAAGGCCCACCAAGGCGACGAUCCGUAGCUGGUCUGAGAGGAUGAUCAGCCACACUGGAACUGAGACACGGUCCAGGCUCCUACGGGAGGCAGCAGUGGGGAAUAUUGGACAAAGGGCGCAAGCCUGAUCCAGCCAUACCGCGUGGGUGAAGAAGGCCUUCGGGUUGUAAAGCCCUUUUGUUGGGAAAGAAAAGCAGCAGGUUAAUACCCCGCUGUUCUGACGGUACCCAAAGAAUAAGCACCGGCUAACUUCGUG